UGGGGAAUCUUGCGCAAUGGGCGAAAGCCUGACGCAGCAACGCCGCGUGCGGGAUGACGGCCUUCGGGUUGUAAACCGCUUUCAGCAGGGACGCGGUACCUGCAGAAGAAGCCCCGGCUAACUACGUGCCAGCAGCCGCGGUAAUACGUAGGGGGCAAGCGUUGUCCGGAAUCAUUGGGCGUAAAGAGCUCGUAGGCGGUUCAGUAAGUCGGGUGUGAAAGCUCCGAGCUCAACUCGGAGAGGCCACUCGAUACUGCUGGACUAGAAUCCAGUAGGGGAGUGUGGAAUUCCUGGUGUAGCGGUGAAAUGCGCAGAUAUCAGGAGGAACACCGGCGGCGAAGGCGGCACUCUGGGCUGGUAUUGACGCUGAGGAGCGAAAGUGUGGGUAGCAAACAGGAUUAGAUACCCUGGUAGU
This 415-nucleotide ribosomal RNA is filed under the name uncultured bacterium. Its description in RNAcentral is "bacterial SSU rRNA". It matches the Rfam family "Bacterial small subunit ribosomal RNA", at positions 355 to 794 of the family's 1533-position model. The record is from RNAcentral.